UAGGAAAGGCUACAUGGAUUUCUAAUGGU
RNAcentral lists this non-coding RNA (29 nucleotides) under Mus musculus (house mouse). The record is from RNAcentral. Lineage: Eukaryota; Metazoa; Chordata; Mammalia; Rodentia; Muridae. RNAcentral also lists the same sequence under 1 other name.